RNAcentral lists this ribosomal RNA (460 nucleotides) under uncultured bacterium. RNAcentral's name for it is "partial 16S ribosomal RNA". It matches the Rfam family "Bacterial small subunit ribosomal RNA", at positions 338 to 795 of the family's 1533-position model. The record is from RNAcentral.
CCUACGGGAGGCAGCAGUGAGGAAUAUUGGUCAAUGGGCGCGAGCCUGAACCAGCCAAGUCGCGUGAGGGAAGACGGCCCUACGGGUUGUAAACCUCUUUUGCCGGGGAGCAACGGGCCCCACGUGUGGCGCCACUGAUAGUACCCGGGGAAAAAGCAUCGGCUAACUCCGUGCCAGCAGCCGCGGUAAUACGGAGGAUGCGAGGGUUAUCCGGAUUUAUUGGGUUUAAGGGGUGCGUAGGCGGAUGGUUAGGUCGGUGGUCAAAUUUAGGGGCGCAACCCCUCCUCGCCAUGGAAACUGGCGUGCUUGAGUGGAAGGGAAGCAUGCGGAAUGCGUGGUGUAGCGGUGAAAUGCAUAGAUAUCACGCAGAACCCCGAUUGCGAAGGCAGCAUGCCGGCUUCCUACUGACGCUGAUGCUCGAAAGCGUGGGGAUCGAACAGGAUUAGAUACCCCGGUAGUC